ACUACUUUAACCCUGCUACAUGUUUUUCAUUUUUACUUGAAGUUUUGCAACCAUUAACAUAUAAAAAUGUGGUCUAUUAAAAGGUCUUCUUGUUUUCUUUGCACUGUUGCAAUAGUUUUAAUCAUAGCAAGCCGGUGUAAUUUUCCUAUAGGUUGUAAAAUUGACAAGCAUAUCAUGCCUUUGUAAUAAUAAACAAUAAAUGAGUUAAAUGUUUUCUUCUGGGGUUUUUUUUUACUUUGCUACUAUCGAGUACUUAAGAUUAUUGAAAUGUUCUAUGCCACGCCUGAUAAGUUUUCUAAUCCAUUAACGACACAUCCAGUUUAACGACACAUUUCGUACUUUCCCGUACCAAUUUUUCAGAAAUAUGACAAGGCACCUAAUUUCUAUUUGGAUGCUAGCAACAAUUACAAACAUUGUACAGGCUUUUGCAGGAUGUAAUCCAGGUUGUGCGGGGUUUGGAAAUUGCUGUCCACAACACUAGUCGUCAUUGAAAAUUUAUUUGUUGACGGUUGAUUUAUUGUAUGUAAUAUACAAAACAGGCAUUAUGUAUAAUGUGAUGUUAAAAAUAAAUAAAUAAAUUUAUUUUAAUGUGACAAACAAAA
Drosophila santomea is the source of this 602-nucleotide long non-coding RNA. RefSeq lists it as uncharacterized. The transcript is spliced from 2 exons. Lineage: Eukaryota; Metazoa; Arthropoda; Insecta; Diptera; Drosophilidae. The record is from RefSeq and is a predicted model, not a curated record.